UAUGGCUGUCGUCAACUCGUGUCGUGAGAUGUUGGGUUAAGUCCCGCAACGAGCGCGACCCUCAUCCGAUGUUGCCAGCGUAAAGUCGGGAACUCUUCGGAAACUGCCCGUGUAAGCGGGUGGAAGGUGGAGAUGACGUCAAGUCAGCAUGGCCCUUACGCCUGGGGCUACACACAUGCUACAAUGGGCGCUAACAAAGGGCAGCAAUACCGCGAGGUGGAGCGAAUCUCAAAAAUGCGUCCUCAGUUCGGAUUGUAGUCUGCAACUCGACUACAUGAAGUCGGAAUCGCUAGUAACCGCAGGUCAGCUAAACUGCGGUGAAUACGUUCCCGGGCCUUGUACACACCGCCCGUA
This 354-nucleotide ribosomal RNA is filed under the name uncultured soil bacterium. Its description in RNAcentral is "bacterial SSU rRNA". It matches the Rfam family "Bacterial small subunit ribosomal RNA", at positions 1044 to 1398 of the family's 1533-position model. The record is from RNAcentral.